AUUGAACGCUGGCGGCAGGCUUAACACAUGCAAGUCGAGCGGGGGAAGGUAGCUUGCUACCGGACCUAGCGGCGGACGGGUGAGUAAUGCUAGGAAUCUGCCUAUUAGUGGGGGACAACAUCUCGAAAGGGAUGCAAAUACCGCAUACGUCCUACGGGAGAGAGCAGGGGAUCUUCGGACCUUCCGCUAAUAGAUGAGCCUAAGUCGGAUUAGCUAGUUGGUGGGGUAAAGGCCUACCAAGGCGACGAUCUGUAGCGGGUCUGGGAGGAUGAUCCGCCAAACUGGGACUGAGACACGGCCCAGACUCCUACGGGAGGCAGCAGUGGGGAAUAUUGGACAAUGGGGGGAACCCUGAUCCAGCCAUGCCGCGUGUGUGAAGAAGGCCUUAUGGUUGUAAAGCACUUUAAGCGAGGAGGAGGCUACUUUAGUUAAUACCUAGGGAUAGUGGACGUUACUCGCAGAAUAAGCACCGGCUAACUCUGUGCCAGCCGCCGCGGUAC
This 500-nucleotide ribosomal RNA is filed under the name uncultured bacterium. RNAcentral describes it as "partial 16S ribosomal RNA". It matches the Rfam family "Bacterial small subunit ribosomal RNA", at positions 30 to 523 of the family's 1533-position model. The record is from RNAcentral.